UUGGGUUGGGUUGGUUUUAGUCCCAACCCGUAACCCAACCGGGCAUACAGCGGUUGAUGAUUUCUUGUUGUGCUCUUGUACCCAUCACGCACUACAUAUUGUGUCCAAGAUGAAAGCUGAAGCUGCCCCACAGCUUUCCCUUUCGGCUUUUACCUGUGUGUAACAAAAAAUAUGCUUCAAAGUCUUUUAAGCAUUUAUAUCUGGAUAGUUGUAUUCUUAUGCCACCUUCUCAAUUUUUAGCUGCAUUCAACUAUUUGAUAACCCUUCGACUGGAAGCUACAUGGGUUGGUGAAUAUUUCAUGCUUUCUUUGCUAUCCAAUUCUCCAUUCCUUCAAGUCUUGCGCUUGAAAAGCUGCACAUUGCCAUCUGAUUUGGAGAUUGUUUGGUCCAUCCCUUCACCACCUGGAGGUGAUUGGCUGUCAUUACAAAGGAAAUGUUACGAUUUCUGCCCCAAAACUCACUGUUUUUGAACAUCGCAACUUAUGGGAGUGGGAGAAUAUAUUGAGAAAGAUAUUCUUCCACGCAUGGGAAGAGAAGAUGAUACCUCCUUCAAUUUCACAUUUCACUGGUUUUGCCCAGCUUGAAAAUCUCAACCUGCGCAUGUCUUCUGGAGAAAUGCCAAGAUUGCCAAGAAACAUAGCGCCACUUGGGAAUCUUAAGCAAGUGGAAUUGUCUGUAGAUGAAGGUGAUGCUCUAGGAUGCUCAAAUCUGUAGUGGGUUGUCCUCUUUCUGAAGGCUUCUCCUCUUCUGCAGAAGCUUACAUAUAGGCGUCCAGAAUCACCUCCUGGCUUCUCUGAAAAUGAAAGAAGUGAAAGAUGGCAACCGGAGGAGUUCACCCAUAGUCAAUUUAAAGAAGUUGAAAUAGCUGGAUGUGUAGGUAGGUAAUUGGUUCGAAGUCAAGCUUUCUAUUUACAUGCUGCCAAAUGUGCAAGGUCUUGAACCCCUCCCGGAGAUACUAUAACGGAGGUGGGAGUUGGAUUGAUGAUGAAAAAAUAACCGAUCUUAUGCAACUUGUUAUUGCAUAGAGAAGGGCCGAUAAAUGGUGAAAAGCUUCGAGACAAAGUUCCUGGCAGUGCAAAACUCGUAUUGUUAUGAUGACCUACUUCCACUUCCAUUAGGUUUGUUGGUAGGUCCUAUGGGAUGGGGCAUGCUUAGGUGAAGCACAAGUUGGGUGUUUGAAUUUAGACUACUGCUUAAGUUAGUUUCGUCAGAUUCUCUUAAGGUCAUUUGAAACUUAAUUUUUAUUACAAGACCUGGAUGAACAUGACAAAAGAAACUAGAGAAGUUGCAGAACUAAAGGGGGUCAUAUACUUUUCAAGUGUGUUGAUCACAAAAUCCAUUAAAAACUUAGUACGAGCUCACUUUGGACAAAGAGUGUGCUCCACCACCACAUCACUUAGUUUUCUAAGAUCCUCUAUGUUCACAGCACAUUCAUAGCUAUAUUUAUGUAAAGGCUUGACAUAAUUAGGUUGGUAAGUAAAGUAACUAUUGAUUCACACUCCAUCCUUAGUAUUGAGAGUCGAGACCAUGGGUGCUACCUGACUAUCAAAGAGCAAAUAUGACCUUUGGCAGGGGGUUAUGAUCUGCAAUCGCCUUUUGUCAAAAUUCACACAUUAAUGCAGAGUGUUUGCAAGGAGACAACAAAGCCAAAUUCUGCAGGC
Long non-coding RNA from Prunus dulcis (almond), 1661 nucleotides. RefSeq lists it as uncharacterized. Lineage: Eukaryota; Viridiplantae; Streptophyta; Magnoliopsida; Rosales; Rosaceae. The record is from RefSeq and is a predicted model, not a curated record. The transcript is spliced from 3 exons.